UGCUGAGCAGAAGAAACGUAAAAAAAAAAAAAAGACAGAUCCCAAACAUGUAGUGUAAGUAAAUGCAUUGUGCAUUAUUUCCAUGAACAUUAAGCCCAUUUUCCUCUUAAAAAUCUCAUUCAAUCAUCCUCUCCAGACACAAUAUUUUAAAAUUAAAAUAAGUGAAACAUACAUUUAUAUUGUACUUUAAAGCACUAAAAUACAUUGGUUUACCAAAUAGAUGUACAUAAUGUACAUAAAGAUUUAUACACAUACAUAUGAAAGGAGUUUAAUGAAAACUGCAAAAAUAUAUAUUAGAAUUAGACUUAGAAUAUUUAAUUUUCAUGAAAAUCUUUUUUGCAUUGCUUUUGGGGUCAAAUAUGACCUAUAUGGAUAUUUCAUGACAGUUUCCAUGAUGUUCACUGAAACAUCCUUAGCUUUACCUCUUUCUACAGUCCAGAGCCUAAGCUAAAGGUCAUGUUAUUGACAGUGAAGUGUUAUGCUUACACAGGCCUUCCACCUGAAAUCCUGGCGCUAUGGAAACAGGCCGCGGUCCUGAGGCCCAUCCCACCGUCCUGGCAGCGCAGGGAGGUUCCCGUAGCUGAGGAGAUACCAGAGAGAGAGCAGGAGAGACCAGAACCGGGACAGAGAGAGGAGGAGGAGAGAGAGCUUAGCUCUAAAGAGAUUCCCAGAGAAAUGUUGGAGUCUGGCCUCUUCCAGCAAGAAACACCAGCCUCUCUGGUGGUUUUGGAGACGACAGACAAAGAUUUCUCUCCACUGGAGACUCCUGAAAUGAGACGGUGAGAGGAGACAUGCUAAAAGAGAGACAGAAAUAGCUGUUGCUGUCAGAAGCGACUGGUUUGACACUUGCGAGUUUCACAUUCAGUUGCUGCAUAAUUAAGUGCCUCUGAAUAAUGACUUCGUAUGUGUGUGCUGUCAUGGCUUCAGAUCCCCUGUUCCAGAAAUUCAGUUCGGUCUUGAGGGCAUCCCAGAAGAGAGGGUCCCAGAGAUGGAAGAUAUUACAAAGGAUAUCGAGGAACAAUUAAGGUACUGCUGAAAACCUCUUAUUUUUGAUGCCAGUUUCAAUAUAAAAGUUUUUUUUACGUUGUUAAUAUAAGUAUUUUUUAUGUUUUGUUAUUUAUUGAAAGGCUAUUUAUAUUUAUAUUACUAUAGCCAUGUCCAGUCACAUUU
Molecule: long non-coding RNA, 1170 nt
Organism: Cyprinus carpio (common carp)
Lineage: Eukaryota; Metazoa; Chordata; Actinopteri; Cypriniformes; Cyprinidae
Source: Ensembl